UACGGAGGUGCUCUAAAGCGCUGCAAAGAUUCCAAACUCUUAAGCACACCUACCCCAAGGCUGUAAGAUUUGUCGGGCGAUUUACACCAGGUGGAUGCUCUGUGUCCAGACGUUCAAGACUCCUUCUGCAUUAUGCACCAGAAUCUGGGAUCCUGUCAGCCCUGCUAAAACAGGGUGAGCUGCAAGCCCGCACGUGGAUGUUCGCUGCUUCCCUGGCACCGAGUUAAGACACUGGCUACACUUCGCCUGAGGUCUCCACACUCCACCUCUAGUCACAGCAGGACUGGGUAAGAGGCAAGAAGGUGAUAUCAGCAUGACUGUAAAAAUCUACACCUCCGCUCUUAUGAAUACGUGGGGAGCUUCCUGAGAAGCCACAUGUGCGGCCGUAAUCAAAUACAUCUAAGUGCUGACUCCAAAGUCGGUGCCCACCACCUGGGAAUUAAAAUCUACACCGACCGUGCUGGCCUGAAGACAAGACCUCACCAGAAACUAAUCAGCUUGAAAACUGCAGACCAAAUAAUGCCAGCUCGGUGCCUGACCUGCCUUUCAGAGAAGCCAACAGGCAAGAGAACAGUGAGAGCAGAAACCAAACGGAAAGCUCAUCCUGGAGGUGGAUCAAGCUCAAUACCUCCCGUGACCCCGAUUCUGCCCUGCCAAGCGCCAGCUGAGUGAUUCCACAGAGGGGAGACACGAGAAGGGACGCGAGAGAUGGUCCACACCUGCCAGCGGAAUUCCUAACCCCUGCUCCUCGCAUCACACCAGGUCAGGGCAGCAGAAGCCCGGCCCCCGGACGGACGCUCCGCAAAGCCCUCUCCACCUUUCCCCCAGCCCCCUGGCAUCAGAAGGCUCCUGAAUGCAGGGGGGAAGCGCAGCUCACACACUCCACCCCUCCACCUGUUUGCCACUGGCCUCUUUCCGAGGGAAGGGGAAGGAGAACGCCCCACAAGGCCACAGAUGCUCAUUUGGACACCUACGGGGACUGGAAAACUUGAAGUCUGAACGCUGGCUCCAAAGACCAGGGCGAACUCAGGGUGCCGGGCGCAGCCGUCCUGGACGGUGACCCCACGUCCUUCUCAGCUCAGCCUAGGGCGCUGCUUGGUGGGGGGGGGCGGAUGAGACUCACGGGUUCCCGGGACUUGAACUCAGGACCGGAGGUGGAGGAGCAGGG
This 1168-nucleotide long non-coding RNA is filed under the name Fukomys damarensis (Damara mole-rat). RNAcentral's name for it is "lncRNA (ENSFDAG00000031583.1)". Lineage: Eukaryota; Metazoa; Chordata; Mammalia; Rodentia; Bathyergidae. The record is from RNAcentral.